This is a long non-coding RNA of Daphnia pulicaria, 378 nucleotides long. RefSeq lists it as uncharacterized. The transcript has 3 exons. Lineage: Eukaryota; Metazoa; Arthropoda; Branchiopoda; Diplostraca; Daphniidae. The record is from RefSeq and is a predicted model, not a curated record.
GAACGACACGUGCAUCGCCUCCACGCUGACACUCACCGAUGCCAAGAUUACAGACACGGGAUUCUACGAGUGUCACCUUCAACAAUUCCCUGACCUCAAAACGGAGCACUACGUCUACGUUUGGGACAAAAGGCAUCUUCUGUUAAACAGCGGAGGUGUCGACAGAAUUACAGUGAAGCAUGGCCAAAGGGCUGCAAUUCCCUGCAAACCGACCCAUCCGGAUGUCCGUGUCACACUGAAACGCAACAACCAUUUCACCGUCGAAACUUCAUUCAAGGAAGAACUACAACAGGAUUUAUUAAAUGUUUCAAACGCAAAAUGGGAAUUUCAUAAGCAAACGGGAUAAACGCUGAAUAAGGCGAAGUUAAGCUAUUACGG